This 396-nucleotide ribosomal RNA is filed under the name Ammonia sp. Its description in RNAcentral is "partial large subunit ribosomal RNA". Lineage: Eukaryota; Foraminifera; Rotaliida; Rotaliidae. The record is from RNAcentral.
CGUAAUAACAGAAACUAACCAGGAUUCCCUUAGUAACGGCGAGUGAACUGGGACACCAACAAUAUAUAUAUACGCUUCACUGCGUGUAUAUCUUUAGCCCGUCGAUACUAUCCUAGCGUAUGACUUAUACUGUCUCGGCAGUUGGUCACCAAAUACGCAGGAAUUGUAGCAUCGUAACACAUAUAUACACUAUAAGCAGCGCACACGUAUAUACACACACACAUAUACACGUAUACCGGCCUUGCAAACACACAGCGCUCUCGCGUUGGAAAGCAAGUUAUAUCCUCGGAUAUGCCAUAGAGUGUGACAGCCACGUUUGGAACACCCUUAUACCGGUACACACAUAUACUGCGCAUAUACGCUUAGCACGUAUAUAUAACCUGAGUCGAGUUAUUU